CUCCACUGUUUCCCAACAAAAAGGGCAUUCAGGAAGAGGGAGGAGGCUCCCAGGGCCUGGAGAGCGGCUUUGGGGCAGUGAAUGGGCCCAGUGGCCUCCCGUGUCAAUGGCUCUGUGGGAAAGGCAGUGAUGUCACCGCGAAUGCAUUUUCGGGCCUGGCCUGCCUUCCCUGCUCCCGUCCUCCCCUCCAGCCCGGAGGCCAGCUCUGUUAGUUCCCCAAGUGCAGAGCUCAAAUACCCAGAGGCCCGCAGCACGCUGCUGCCAUGGCAACGCAGCCUUCGACACUUUAUGAUUUUGCAUAAAAAGUAGAAAAGACUUGAAAGGAAAGGGCAAGAACCAGAGGGACGAAGCCGGUGCUGGGCUCUGGUGCUGGGUGGACAGAAGCGGAGAGGACUAAGCUGGGGAGACCCCGAGAGCCAGUGAGGGCCUCUGGGAAGCAAAUGUCCACGCAGGAGAGGGACGCCCUGACAGAUGGCAGGGGAGGAGACCAACAAAGUUUUCACAGGAACAGCUCGGCGUAGGUGAAAGAGUGGGAAGAACGAGCGAGAAGGGAAGUGGGGGAAGACUUCGGAGAGGACGUCGUCUUGGAGGCAGAAAAAGGGACUUGGAGCAGACUGGUACAGAGAAGCUGAUAUGAAGAAACACAGGGAGAAGACAAUACCCACAAGCUAUGGGUGAGGCUGGAACAGGUCCUUCCUCUCUACCCAGUGGGACGACCCCUGACUUCACACUUCAGCCACAGUUUACAGUUCUGUGUAUCUUCCAACAAAGUUGAACAAGUACAUUAAAAUAGACUGAAGAUCA
Molecule: long non-coding RNA, 804 nt
Organism: Ictidomys tridecemlineatus (thirteen-lined ground squirrel)
Lineage: Eukaryota; Metazoa; Chordata; Mammalia; Rodentia; Sciuridae
Source: RefSeq, a predicted model, not a curated record